Acanthosepion pharaonis is the source of this 111-nucleotide non-coding RNA. The record is from the annotation of a GenBank genome assembly. NCBI's taxonomy places the organism in Eukaryota, Metazoa, Mollusca, Cephalopoda, Sepiida, Sepiidae.
UCGGUCAUAUCAAGUUGUAACACCGGUUCCCGUACGAUAACCGAAGUUAAGCAACGUCGAGCCUGGUCAGUACCUAGAGGGGUGACCUUUUGAUAAUAACAGGGGCUGUAC